This 288-nucleotide long non-coding RNA is filed under the name Lathyrus oleraceus (garden pea). Its description in RNAcentral is "Pisum sativum (pea) long non-coding RNA (PSAT_LNC013338)". Lineage: Eukaryota; Viridiplantae; Streptophyta; Magnoliopsida; Fabales; Fabaceae. The record is from RNAcentral.
UUGAAGAUUAAGGAAGCAGAGAAAGCGAAGAUCGUUGCCGAGAGAGAUCAUUAUCUUGCAGAAAGGAAUCAUUACUUCAGACAGAUGAAGAUUCACCAGAAGGAGAUAGGGAGAUUGCAGCAGGAGAACACUGAGCUUAGGUUCGCGGUGAAGUUUACCAAGAUGGUUGAUGAUGCAGAGCCGUCUGUGGGACCAAUUACUUCAGACAGAUGAAGAUUCACCAGAAGGAGAUAGGGAGAUUGCAGCAGGAGAACACUGAGCUUAGGUUCGCGGUGAAGUUUACCAAGA